AUGGAUUGGAAAUAUUGAAGCUCAAAGGUAUAGAAUGAAGCUGACAUGAUGUGUCUUCUAAGAAAGUAUAUAACUGAUCUGAAACAUUUAAACUUCUAUCACAAAACUGAAUUCUGAGUUGACUUUCCCUUACUUGCUUCAAGACACUGAUUCAUGCUAAGAGUUUAGGAUUCCCUUGAAGUGUUCAUGAUCCAAUCAUACAUAUUGAAUUGAGAAGUGAUAACUUAUGCAAUUACGAAUCAUGAGGCAUCAAGACUUAGAUUGUACCAGGGUAUUAUACUAACUGGGCUAAAAUACUUGGAAGUAUUUGAGAUUAUGCACUGAACACUUAUGAACUGAGUCACGACUAAAUAGCUGAAUCUGAAACAUGAUGCUUUGAN
Molecule: long non-coding RNA, 380 nt
Filed under: Capsicum annuum
Lineage: Eukaryota; Viridiplantae; Streptophyta; Magnoliopsida; Solanales; Solanaceae
Description: long non-coding RNA (CANN_LNC004213)
Source: RNAcentral